UGAUCAUGAUGUGUAAUUUACUCAAGGAACGACUUGCAAAAGAUGUAGAUUUAGCAUGUUUUUGUCAGAUACUACUGUGUUAGGUAAAUGCUGUAGGAAUAUUAAUAGUGCUUUUCAUCGUUUAGAAAAUUAUAUCUUGAAGAUUUUUUGGUUUUCCAUUCUGUGUUUGUUUUCUUUCCUUGAGUAAAUUACACAUCAUGAUCA
This 204-nucleotide unclassified non-coding RNA is filed under the name Hevea brasiliensis (rubber tree). Lineage: Eukaryota; Viridiplantae; Streptophyta; Magnoliopsida; Malpighiales; Euphorbiaceae. The record is from RNAcentral.